CGAUUGCAUUUUUUUGUGCUUCUUUUUGAAUCUUCGAGUUAUAAUUUUUUCUUUUUUUUUCUCUCGAUGAUUUUAUAUUUCAUUUUGUUUUCGCACUUUCUUGGGCUUUGGGAGAUUUUGGGGUUUUUACCCCAAACUUAGCUUUUCCAUACAGUUUUAACUAUAUUAACAUGACUCUGAUUAGGGUAAGGAAGUGUUUUGGCCAAGGGGUACAUUUUAUGGGGUGUAAACAAAC
RNAcentral lists this long non-coding RNA (235 nucleotides) under Lathyrus oleraceus (garden pea). RNAcentral describes it as "Pisum sativum (pea) long non-coding RNA (PSAT_LNC004924)". The record is from RNAcentral. Lineage: Eukaryota; Viridiplantae; Streptophyta; Magnoliopsida; Fabales; Fabaceae.